CGCUGGGGCUUCUUCUUCUGCAAUAAUUUCGCUCAAACUUCUUUGUUUCACAUUGCAUAUUCCAACACCUCAAAUGGGUACACUUCACUUGUCUCACUUGCUUUCUUGUCUCACUUGCUUUUCAAACUGCAUCAAAACCAGAAUGUACAUUCACAGCCAAAAAAAGAAAAAAAAGAAAAACACAACCUUUGUGGAAGUGUUUGAUUCAUUAGAUGUUUUGAAAGGAGGGGUUUUCUUCAAAAUUGGACCUUUUGUUCUCCAGGCUUUGUAAUUGUCACCAGAGAACCAACAUUGAUCAGAAAAUUAGCAAUGUUUUUUACACAAGACACUGUAUGCUUUCUAAGGUAAGUGCAGUUCUUGGUUAUUUUUAGCCCAAGAUUCUGGUGUUUACAUACAAAAAUGUUGCCAAUUCAAUGUUUGUAUUGAUGGAUGAAUCCUUCCCUUAGAAUGAGAACUCUGUAGUCCUAUUUACUUUCAUUGAGCAAGUGGUACUUAUAUCAUAAAAGAAUAUUGUUGGCAACAUGAAUCUUUCUUUAAUUUAGCAACUGGAUUGCAUUCAUAACCA
This is a long non-coding RNA of Quercus lobata, 565 nucleotides long. RefSeq lists it as uncharacterized. The record is from RefSeq and is a predicted model, not a curated record. The transcript has 2 exons. NCBI's taxonomy places the organism in Eukaryota, Viridiplantae, Streptophyta, Magnoliopsida, Fagales, Fagaceae.